CGGGGAGCAGCAGGCGCGAAAACUUUACAAUGCGGGCAACCGUGAUAAGGGAACCUCGAGUGCCUGUAUAUGCAGGCUGUCCAGGUGUCUAAAUCACACCUGAAGAAAGGGCCGGGCAAGACCGGUGCCAGCCGCCGCGGUAAUACA
RNAcentral lists this ribosomal RNA (147 nucleotides) under uncultured archaeon. Its description in RNAcentral is "partial 16S ribosomal RNA". It matches the Rfam family "Archaeal small subunit ribosomal RNA", at positions 326 to 477 of the family's 1478-position model. The record is from RNAcentral.